RNAcentral lists this ribosomal RNA (305 nucleotides) under uncultured bacterium. Its description in RNAcentral is "bacterial SSU rRNA". It matches the Rfam family "Bacterial small subunit ribosomal RNA", at positions 333 to 655 of the family's 1533-position model. The record is from RNAcentral.
CGUGUCCUACGGGGGGCAACAGUGGGGGAUAUUGCACAAUGGGGGAAACCCUGAUGCAGCGACGCCGCGUGUGGGAAGACGGUCUUCUGGAUUGUAAACCACUGUCCCCAGGGACGAAAAUGACGGUACCUGGGGAGGAAGCUCCGGCUAACUACGUGCCAGCAGCCGCGGUAAUACGUAGGGAGCAAGCGUUGUCCGGAAUUACUGGGUGUAAAGGGAGCGUAGGAGGGGAGGCAAGUUGGGUGUCAAAACUAGCGGCUCAACCGGUAGUCGCACUCAAAACUGCAGCUCUUGAGGGAAGUAGG